RNAcentral lists this ribosomal RNA (504 nucleotides) under uncultured bacterium. RNAcentral's name for it is "bacterial SSU rRNA". It matches the Rfam family "Bacterial small subunit ribosomal RNA", at positions 25 to 518 of the family's 1533-position model. The record is from RNAcentral.
CAGGAUGAACGCUAGCUACAGGCUAACACAUGCAAGUCGAGGGGCAGCAUAUCGGUAGCUUGCUACUGAUGAUGGCGACCGGCGCACGGGUGAGGUAACGCGUAUCCAACCUUCCCCUUAGUAGGGCAUAGCCCGGCGAAAGUCGGAUUAAUACCCUAUGUUAUCCAGCGAUGGCAUCUGAAUUGGAUUAAAGGUUUACCGCUAAGGGAUGGGGAUGCGUCUGAUUAGGUAGUCGGCGGGGUAACGGCCCACCGAGCCUGCGAUCAGUAGGGGUUCUGAGAGGAAGGUCCCCCACAUUGGAACUGAGACACGGUCCAAACUCCUACGGGAGGCAGCAGUGAGGAAUAUUGGUCAAUGGGCGAGAGCCUGAACCAGCCAAGUAGCGUGCAGGAAGACGGCCCUAUGGGUUGUAAACUGCUUUUAUACAGGGAUAAAGUCGGGGACGUGUCCCCGUUUGCAGGUACUGUAUGAAUAAGGACCGGCUAAUUCCGUGCCAGCCGCAGC